This 524-nucleotide long non-coding RNA is filed under the name Ananas comosus (pineapple). RNAcentral's name for it is "long non-coding RNA (ACOM_LNC008858)". The record is from RNAcentral. Lineage: Eukaryota; Viridiplantae; Streptophyta; Magnoliopsida; Poales; Bromeliaceae.
UAGUACAUAAGAUUUAGGGACAACUGUUUAUAUACUUUUGAAAAGUUUUCAAUUUUCUGAUUUACCCCUCUUAGAAGGCUAAUAUUGAAAAUACAUUUUUUACGUUCCAAUCUAUUUCAAAUAUUCUCCUAGAGUUAAAUUCUGUUAAUAAACUGUUGGUAAUAAUUGUUAUCUGUAUAAAAUUACUAGUUUGCCCUUUCAAAUGUACCCUUCCAACAUCACCAACUUCUCUUAUUUGCCCUUAAGUUACGAGCACAAAAAGUAUUUUGAUUUUUAAUCUUUUCAAAUAUACCCUUCUACCAUCACCAAUAUUUCUUAUUUGCCCUCAAGUUACGGGCGAAAGCGGUAUUUUAAUUUUUUUUAACUCUAGUAAAUAUUUAACUCAUGUUUAAUCCAAGUUAAGUUAACGGGUGGUAACUGUAUGGAUAUUUUGAAAUAACGGAAGAAUAUAUGAGAGAUAUAUUAGAAAAAAAAAAAAGAAUAAAUGAGAUAUUUCUAAAAUAUUGAGAGGUAUAUAGGCAAUU